Molecule: long non-coding RNA, 2105 nt
Organism: Frieseomelitta varia
Lineage: Eukaryota; Metazoa; Arthropoda; Insecta; Hymenoptera; Apidae
Exons: 3
Source: RefSeq, a predicted model, not a curated record
CCAAUUACGUGUACGUGUCGUCUAGUUGCUGAUUUGUCGAGCGUAGUGUGUCGCGUUAACGGUUUAACUGCGCCGGCGGUUCGUAACGACUCUGAAGAAAAUUCGCGUAUUUCGUGUAGAUAACGCUGCGGCAUUGGUACAAAAUACCACGACAACGAGAAAAUAUCGAGGUAAUUUCGUGGAGAACAAUUCGUACGGCACCAUCAUCGUACCAAGUCCAAUUAACGAGAACAUUUUUCAAGGCCUAUCCAGCCGCAGUAUCGCAUUUCGGAUAUGUCGCGAAAACGCUAUAAACUACGGAACGAAACGAUCGCCCCUGUUUCUCGCUUCUUUGUCACCGUUUGCCUCCCAGCUGCUUCGUGCCUGGCGAACCUUGUCGCCGACAUUUGGAUUCACCAUUAAACAUGGUUCUCGGUUUUUAUCUUAAUGGAUAUCUAGUUGGAUCUUGGAAACGUGAAUCGCGGGGAAUCGUUGGAGACGAGGGAGACUUCGCAUCGAAUUUUUCUCCGGAUAAUCAAUGAACGGAGGGCUUCUCCACGAUGGGUGUUAUUCGAGGCAGCUGGGCAUCGCCAAGACGUUCCAACCGUGAGUCCGAUGAGACGAAGGACUCACACACACACACACACACACCGACGUACACGUUCUCACAGACAGGUUCGCGCGUCAUUUUCCAAAAGGGCAACUAUCGGUCAGCUGCGUCGUGCCGGGGUUGCGGUUAAUCCAGUCCGUUGGUCCGCGGUCGUGGUCGUGGUCGUGGUCGUGGUCGCGGCGUUGGUCGUGGUCGGCAUCGUGCUCGCGGCCGGUCGUAGACAAGGUGGGUGGCAAGGUUGAAGCACACAUGUUGAGAAGCACGCUAAGAGAAUACGAAGAGAGAGAGAGAGAGAGAGAGAGAGAAAAGAGGAGGAGGAGAGAAGCGAAGGAGGACCAGGAAGCAUAUCGGAGGAUGUGGCGGAGGAGGAGGAGGAGGAAGAGCAGAGAAGCGGGCAAGCGCAAGCGCCCGUCCGAUCGAUGCCCGUCUCCCGCUCGUAUAAAGCGCUCGUCCUCGGGGGGCGCGCGACAGUUGGCGUUCCGCAUUCGGAACAUGCGCCGCGUCGCGGUCACAUCGUGUCUCCUUGUCUAUCGCAGACCAACGUCCUUAUCCGUAUCGUUUCCGCUGGCUGGCUCGCGAGAUAAGUAAACGUCCUUGGGGCUACCGCGUCCGUAAACACCGCCCGAGGUAUUCGCCGUGUGACGUCGCAGAUGUGACGACCUCGAUUGCCGCCAGUUUGUCGUGGUAAACGGUGGUCCGCGUGUGCUUCUUCCAUUUUACGCUCGCCGAAGAAUCGCUCUCGGCACUCUCGGCACUCUCGGCACUCGCCUCGAAUCAUCGAUAAGUGAUCGUUUCCCCAAAGGGGUGAAGGGGGAAAAAAGAAAAGAAAGUGUAGGAAACUGCAGACAGAAGCUCUCUCUGUCUCUCUCGGUGAGAAGAUAAGUGAAGAUCGGGGACCAAGAUACCGAGCGUGGGACCAUCACGACGCAGCCGGUGGUGAUCGGCGCGUGUGUGUCUUCAGGAAGAGCGUCUCCGAGGACCGAUGUCCAGGCUUGGCGCGAUUGUCCCGCAGACGACGGUUUGACCAGCCACACAGGCUGACAUUUUUCGUUCGAUUAAAACGAGUGGCGACGCGCGUUCUCGUACGCAGCAACGAUUCGGCCGAUCGGUCGGUGGUCGGACGUCGCGCGUCGCAGCACGACGAAGCCGCGGCUUGAUUACUGGCUCGUAUCUCGCGACGUGUCACCGACAUUCGUCCCGGGCGAGAUACAUCCGGGCAGGCGUCAGAGCGGCGGUCGCUGGACCGUCCGGCGGACGUCUCGACCGCCGUACGGCGAACCGCUGGAGCCAGGAGGUGGAGAAGGAGGGGCUGUGGAGGUGGUGGAGGAGGAAGGCCCGCGGACGUGCAACAAGUUAAGAGGCCGCCGCCGCCGCUACCGUCGACAUCGCUGCCGCCGCCACCGUCCUCGCCACGAUGUGACAUGGAUAUCCUAGCCGUAGCCUGCGCCAUCGUCGCCACGGCCCUCUACUGCAACACCCUGCAGGCCGGUUUCGUCUACGAUGAUCGGUGAGUCUC